RNAcentral lists this ribosomal RNA (254 nucleotides) under uncultured bacterium. RNAcentral's name for it is "partial 16S ribosomal RNA". It matches the Rfam family "Bacterial small subunit ribosomal RNA", at positions 524 to 776 of the family's 1533-position model. The record is from RNAcentral.
UACGUAGGGGGCGAGCGUUGUCCGGAUUUAUUGGGCGUAAAGCGCGCGCAGGCGGUUCGUUAAGUCCGAUGUGAAAGCUCCCGGCUCAACUGGGAGAGGUCUUCGGAUACUGGCGAACUCGAGGGAGGCAGAGGAAGGUGGAAUUCCGGGUGUAGUGGUGAAAUGCGUAGAGAUCCGGAGGAACACCAGUGGCGAAGGCGGCCUCUGGGGCCUUUCCUGACGCUGAGGCGCGAAAGCGUGGGGGAGCGAACAGG